AAUCAACGCUGGCGGCGUGCCUAACACAUGCAAGUCGAACGCGAAAGUCCCGCAAGGGAUCAGUAGAGUGGCAAACGGGUGAGUAACACGUGGGUGACCUGCCUUCGAGCGGGGGAUAACGUCCCGAAAGGGACGCUAAUACCGCAUAACAUCCUGCCUUUGAAGAGGUGGAGAUCAAAGCUGGGGAUCGCAAGACCCGGCACUUGAAGAGGGGCCCGCGCCUGAUUAGCAGUUGGUGAGGUAACGGCUCACCAAGGCAACGAUCAGUAUCCGGCCUGAGAGGGCGGACGGACACACUGGGACUGAGACACGGCCCAGACUCCUACGGGAGGCAGCGAGUGGGGAAUUGUUCGCAAUGGGCGCAAGCCUGACGACGCAACGCCGCGUGGAGGAUGAAG
This 398-nucleotide ribosomal RNA is filed under the name uncultured bacterium. RNAcentral's name for it is "bacterial SSU rRNA". It matches the Rfam family "Bacterial small subunit ribosomal RNA", at positions 29 to 413 of the family's 1533-position model. The record is from RNAcentral.